This 254-nucleotide ribosomal RNA is filed under the name uncultured bacterium. RNAcentral's name for it is "partial 16S ribosomal RNA". It matches the Rfam family "Bacterial small subunit ribosomal RNA", at positions 524 to 776 of the family's 1533-position model. The record is from RNAcentral.
CACGUAGGGUGCGAGCGUUGUCCGGAAUUAUUGGGCGUAAAGAGCUCGUAGGCGGUGUGUCGCGUCGGCCGUGAAAACCUGCAGCUUAACUGUGGGCUUGCGGUCGAUACGGGCAUCACUGGAGUUCGGCAGGGGAGACUGGAAUUCCUGGUGUAGCGGUGAAAUGCGCAGAUAUCAGGAGGAACACCGGUGGCGAAGGCGCCACUCUGGGCCGAAACUGACGCUGAGGAGCGAAAGCGUGGGUAGCAAACAGG